GCAAUGCUUAGCUGUUUGGAUGAACGCAUAGGUGGCUAAAUUAGGAGUAACAAAUUUCGACACUGUGUUGCAGAUCCCUGGCAUCGAAGUCAUCACGAGAAUGACCGGGCACCUUCGCGUAGCCCAGAUGGUAUUAUUCGCUGUGACUGCGUUCUCUCAAUCGGUUCGUGUCCAGUGAUGAAGCCGAAGUCUGUGCAACAACCCACAGAGUGUUUGGAGCCGUUGGCGUCAUGUGAUAUGGGAACGGUAGCGCAGCCGGACGCGUCCGAGGGAGUCAUUGCGGCUUGUUCGCAGCCAGACGCCACAUGGUACCGUAGCAACUACAACGGGAGCGGGAUGUAUGGGCGGGACGGAUACCAGUUCGAUUUAAUUGAAGACGAGGAAAGCGGUACGAAUGAAGUGGGUGUUGUAAUCGCUGUUUCGCGUUGCACUUUGAAACCCGGCCUCGACAACACUGCGGUCCCUAGAUACGAGGCGAGGGCGCGCUUAAGAACCCCAAGAGUUAACCGGGAAUCAGGUAGCCCGGUUAUAUUGUCUUUUUGGUAUCAGCUGCGUCGCCCCACACCUAUUGACCAACCGAUAGAGCCAAUCGAUCUCGAGGUGGACAUCGAAAUUUACUAUAAAGACGACUUGAAAAAAGGUGGCAACCGGAAUGAUUUUUGGAUUCCCUCAAUCGACGACGGUUAUCCAGACCCGGGCGGCUACAUCUCGGGAGGGGACCUUAUGCGCUUGCGUCCACUGUGGAAACUAUCAGAGCAGGAUCCUGUCGCCUUCUCCCCUGACGUUUGGCACUAUGUAGACGUGCCCGUCCUGCAGGCGGAUAUCGAUUCCAUAUUCUCCAGUGAAAGCGGGGAUUUAGAGGAUUUCCACGUUAUGUCUCCGCGAGUUAGUUUUUCGUUUUUGGCCGACCACAAUAACUGCGACUUCAGUGUGAGUCCCAUAAUGCUGGAUGCUAUCAGCGUCAAAGCAGUAAGAAAUUGCUCAGAAUCAACCACCAUGAUCACUACUGUAUCGACAACUACAACUGCAAGCACUGUUUCGACAGUUGAAACUAGCUCCCCCGUAACAUCUUCUACAACUAGCUCCUCUUCUACAACUGUAUCAGAGCCCACAACAACUUUGAGGAGCACCACGAUACCAACGGAAACCACCACAGAUUCGAAAACCUCCACGAUGGCCUCUCCUUCGCCCUUAUCUGCCACCGACGUUACCGUCUCAUCCAGCUCAAGGGUUUUCCCAAACGCAACUUCCGAAGUGACUACGGAAACGUUGCAUUACACUACAUCGUCAGAAUCACUCGCCACGACAUUGACCGAUCCACUGACUGCAGCGACUGUAUUGUCACAGCAACUAAGACUCCGGAGCCUUCAACAGUGAUCCCAAAAAUUCCCCCUACAAAAUCGCCAGUAUCUGUGGCACUGGAGAUGGCCAUGAGUAACAACACCUGUCCUAACGAGACAGCCUACUUUACCCAGUCGCCAUCCAAUGUACUCGCUGUCAUUCACAGUGCCGUUCAAAAUGACUCGUUAAGUCUUGGUUUUGACGAUAUUCUGCAAACGGCGCACUUCUUUGGAAAAUUUUCUGGAUCAGGCGUACCAGCAAAUUUGCCUGAAGGAGCAGAACAAGCUGCAGUUGAAACAUUGCUGCAGAUAACGGACCAGAUGGUCAUUGCGGAGAACACUGAAAAAUUGGCAUUACCUGCUAACAGUGAAGACGGUCCCAAUGCGGCAGCGAUCAUUUACCAAUCACUGGAGCAGAUGUACUACAAACUGCCAUCUAAAGCAGACCCAUACGUGUUUAAUAAUACUUUCUCUGUGGUUCAUGUCCAUGCUAUGCUGAUCGAUAGUUCUGCGCAGUUUGCCAACCUUAAUCGGAGCACGAAACUGGAAGUUAGUGCCUUCGAUAAGGCAAUGGGCGUUGUUACUAGCUCAAAUGACAGUUCUUCUUCGAUCGCAAGUAUUGCAUUCAGAGACGCAGCGCUUGAAGAGGCAUUCGAAAGUUCAAGACCAACCGCGAAAGCAUCUCCAGUUGUUUCGUCUUUUCCUGUCCGCGAUGCCGGCAUUCCAGUUCGCCAAAUUCAUCCCGACAAACGAACUCGAACGAAAGGACAAGCCCGAUUGUUUUGCUAGCUUCUAUGACUGGAAAUGUUAAACAGGGAGAUAUAAUCACCAUUCAGCACAACGUGGAUGUUCUGUUUGAUUAUCCAUCUGGAGCGAAAAGACAGCAUAAGUGUAUCUUUCUGAAUUACACUUCUCAACAAUGGUCAGGAGACGGGUGCCGUUUAACCGCUAAACAUCCGAAAUGGGACGGCACAACCGUGGAAUGCACAUGCAAUCAUUUGACGCCCUUCUCGCUUCUGCUGACAUUGUGUGGCAGCUUGUCCAAAUCCUUUAUUCUAAAGGAUAAACCACUCACUUUGGAUUUGGCUGUUGUAACCACCGCGACGACUUCGUGUUUCCACUGUCUGUUGCUUCUUAGCUUUGCUGAUAAUCAUGGUAAAGCUUUUUCGGAAACGAGUAAUUUUUGAUGAAGUGACAUGUACUCGGAUGGGUUUAUGGAUGGCGCUAUUCGGAAUGUAUCUGUUUACCAUUUUCUCGCAGCUGAUGGUGUUUGUUCCUGAAAUCUGCGGACAGAAGUUCUGCUUAGCUAGCGGUAUUUUAGUGCACUGGUUUGUUCUGAUGAGUGUGGGAUGGACUUUAGUCCAAACUGUCGGUGUCAUCCAGUUGAUACUUUAUCCGGAACAGUAUUGGAAAAGGAGACACCUUCCAGGAGACAGACGUCACGCGACUAAGCUGAAAACGUGGUUAGCCACUAGCCUUAUCCCUGGCGUGUUCCCUUUGCUCGCAUCGAUGCCACAUAUUUUUGAGAACAUCGGUAACAUAACAAGCUUCCUUGGUGGCUUCGGCUAUGCACAUCACGAAAAAUGGUGCUGGUUGAACGGCGAACAUUCGUGGAUUCCAAUCAUUCCAUGGGUGACCUUUAUUGCACCUCUAUCGACUGCAGGCCGUGCUGAAUAUAGCGACAGUCCUAGUGUACAUGGUCAGCGAGAUAACAAAGAAGAAGCGCAGAAAAAGGCUUUCGGUCUCCGAAGAACGUAAUGGGGAAUAUGCCGGUCUGGUUAAGCAGAGGGUUCACGGAGUGAUCAUCAACACCGGUUUGAUGGGAUUGAUCUGGUUGAGCGUGUGGUUAGCGCUCUUCUCCUGCUUUAUUGUUGAUCCGACGUGGAAUUAUGUCUUUGUUUUACUGUUGACUGUUGCUUGUGGAUCUCAGGCGAUCUACAUCAUCGUAUUCCAAGGAAUAAUUUCUGAUAAGAGUUCAAAGAAUCCUGUCAGCAAUUCCAACAGCAGCAACGAGCGCAGCGUUACUCCUAAUUAAUGCCGGGCCGCGCUACAUCGAAUAGAUCUGAGGAGGUCCAGUUGCGGUGUUUUCAAGUAAUUUUUUAAUUUUUGUUCACUUUAAUCGUUGACAAACUUGCAACAUCAAAAUGGUUGCCAGAAGCAGACGAACGAUACAGUGCGAAAGACAAACAAAUAAAAGCCAUGGCCAAUGAUUUAGUCAACCGAGACUAUUAUUGCGUGCCAUGACAUUUUCUCGCUCCCUACAUCGGUCCCUUGCCGAGCAGCCAAUCCGCA
Paramacrobiotus metropolitanus is the source of this 3632-nucleotide RNA transcript. RefSeq lists it as uncharacterized. The transcript has 12 exons. NCBI's taxonomy places the organism in Eukaryota, Metazoa, Tardigrada, Eutardigrada, Parachela, Macrobiotidae. The record is from RefSeq and is a predicted model, not a curated record.